RNAcentral lists this long non-coding RNA (1344 nucleotides) under Equus asinus (donkey). RNAcentral describes it as "lncRNA (ENSEASG00005036514.1)". Lineage: Eukaryota; Metazoa; Chordata; Mammalia; Perissodactyla; Equidae. The record is from RNAcentral.
GUUUAUCUGCAGCUCUCGAAAAGGCAGCAACAGAAGUAACUGAGAUAAACAGACUGAAAGCUGCCCACAGCCAAAGCAGCUAUGUCUCCCCGGAGACAUAGUGCCUGGCACAGAGAAGGCAUUCAGUAAAGGUCUGCUGAAUGAAUGGAUGACGAUUCUCGCGAACAGACAGGAAACUGACAGGUAAGGAGGUAGCUGCCGGCGCCGUGCGGUCUGCUCUCUCAGGGGCAGUGAGGGAAGUCGGUCUGAGCCGGCUCGAGAGGAGGCGGUCUGUUCACAAGAGCCUCACGGACUCUUCAGGAACUGAGCCUCUAGCUCUCUCCCUCCCUCUUCUCACUUGGCCGCCGUCUGCUGCCCUCUGUCUGUGUCUCUGCAGACCGGCUUCCUCUGCUCCUGCUGCUGGGAACACGCAGCUGACAGCCUCCGAGCUGACAGGACUACAGCUCCAGCCAGGGGAAUGACUGAAUCUCUCCUGGUCUUUGUUGCAAAUUCCCGGGGAGGGGCUCCUGGGCAGGGGGCUCUCUCCACCGUCCCAUCCCCUGACAGUGGUUCAAGUCAGUGAGGCAGAGGGGUUUAAGAAUUCGUGGAGACAGGAGGAGCCGCUCGGUCCUCAUCAACUUCUCCGCUGAUGGUUAGAUCAGAACGCGUCCUCCAGCUCGCUGUGCAUGGAAACCCUAAGUAUUUGCCCUGGAAAUGCUCGUGAGGAGUCCUCGACCUGCGAAAAUGCAAAAGUAUGCGACGGGUCCUGAGACUCCUCGAAGAGGUGAAGACCUGAGCGUGUGAAGAGGAAGGCUCCUGCUCCCUCAAGCACUGCGGGGUGAGAUGGACACCCCUCCUCUCGGGGAGAACUGAGGGUGCACAGUUGCUAAGAAGCGGACGACUAGACCAGACUCAGUGACGACCCUGGCUCACAUUCCAUCCUACAGAUACAUUCAUUUUUUAUACUGAGCUCUAUUUGAAGGGCCAGUCAUUCCUGUUAAUGAUUUAAAGAGCUCGUCCCGUUGACAGUAUAACCACAGCAUCAGUUGCUUCCUUCCAGGCCUGAGCACACAACGAAAAGGAUCUGAGCGGGAGAAGGUCUCCAAAGGGUUUCCCGCGACUCCGCCGCCGCCCCUGGGGAGGACGCCGGGCCCGGCCGGGACUGGCAGGGCGCCCCGGGACCGCGGGGAGCGGCGCUGCACGUGUGGGGCUCCGGCCCGCCCCCCGCAUGGCACCUUCCCACCCGCGGAAUCGAAGCUCCUCCGCCGGCGCCGGACCCCGCGGCCGGGCCGCCACACGGCGUCGCUGUCCCCGCAGGUCCCGCCGCAGCCGGCGCGCCGUCGUUCCCCGCCGGGCGGUGAGGCG